CAGAAAAGUUUGUUGAUCAGUAACAUCCAUUUUUAUUUGACAGGGAAAGCUGAAUGGUGAAACCAUUGUGGUAUCUCUGCUGAAAGAGACUAAUUCCAGAGGUACCGGCGAGAUUUUUCGAAAAAUUUUUGCUCUCUCCCUGAAACAGAGUCCUCAAAGUGAGUGUGUGAAGAAACCAUAUAUCAUGAGUCAUCCAGUCACCAUUUUGUUCUAAUAUCCGUGCUUCCAUGAAAGAAGAUUAUUUGCCCAGUGAAACUCAGACUCACCAGACACAUUGGAUUGAUGGAGCUGGG
RNAcentral lists this long non-coding RNA (293 nucleotides) under Struthio camelus australis. RNAcentral's name for it is "lncRNA (ENSSCUG00000002163.1)". Lineage: Eukaryota; Metazoa; Chordata; Aves; Struthioniformes; Struthionidae. The record is from RNAcentral.